UAGUCAUAUGCUUGUUUCAAGGAUUAAGCCAUGCAAGUCUCAGAGUAAAUGGAUUAACAGUGGAUCUGCAGACGGCUCAUUAAAUCAGCUGCAAUCUGCGCCGGGAAGGAGCUAUAAGGCACCCAGUUGGAUAACAAGCGUAACUCGCUUGCUAAUACAUGUCCGAACAUCGCGACUCAGGUUCCACCCGGUGCGGGAAACCAAUCCGGGCUGAGGCGUGAACAGUUGACCGAAACAAAAAUCAACGCUGGCAACAGCAGCGGUGAGUGGAUGAAACAGGUCAACCGAGUGAUAGCACAUUCCUUAUGGAGGUGCAAGCCGGCAAGAGCAUCUGCCCUAUCAGCUUUGACGGUAGUGUAGUGGACUACCGUGGCGUUAACGGGUAACGGGGAAUUAGGGUUCGAUUCCGGAGAGGGAGCCUGAGAAACGGCUACCACAUCUAAGGAUGGCAGCAGGCGCGCAAAUUGCCCAAUAGCAACACUGCUGAGGCAGCGAAGAGAAAUAGUAACUUCUACCACAACUGUGGUAUGGAGCUGCAAUGGAUGAUAUCUAAACCUGUCAGUGAACUCCAUUGGUGGACAAGUCUGGUGCCAGCACCCGCGGUAAUUCCAGCACCAAUAGCGUAUAUUAAUGCUGCUGCUGUUAAAAAGCUCGUAGUUGGAUACAGAGCUCAGGUUGUGUUGUGGCCGUUGACUUUGUGAAGCAGCGUACUGCUGUGGAGCAUCGUCUUCGGAUUGAACCCAGCACGUCAAGACCUGUGCUCUAGGAAUGGUGGUAAUGGUGCCCUGUGAGUAAGCUCCUUCAUUGGGGCUGAAAACGCUUACGUGUAAACCAUACGCAUACGGGUCGACCACCGAUGUUACUGUGAACAAAUCAGUGUGUCCAAAGCAGGCGUUGCCUUGAAUGAUAAAGCAUGGAAUAACAAGGGAUCGAUUCUCUCGGAUCUUUUUGUUGGUUUUUAACCCGAGAAGGAGUAAUUCGAGGUGCGGUCUGACUAGCCACUUCGGUGGCGAACUCGGAACGUACCUAGCCGGGAUCAAUAGGGACUGCCGGGGUCGUACGUACUCCCACGUCAGAGGUGAAAUUCUUAGAUCGUGGGAAGACGAACUUCUGCGAAAGCAUUCGACAAGAAUGUCUUCAUUAAUCAAGAACGAGAGUGUGGGGAUCGAAGAUGAUCAGAUACCGUCGUAGUCCACUACUGUAAACGAUGCCGUCUCAUGAUCGAGAGGUGCCCAUUAUGGCCCUCACGGCACUAACCCCUGAACGAGAAAUCAAGAUUAUGGGUUCAUGGGGGAGUACAUUCGCAAGGCUGAAACUUAAAGGAAUUGACGGAAUGACACCACCAGGCGUGGAGUAUGCGGCUUAAUUUGACUCAACACGGGGAAUUUUACUAGGUCAGGACAAUCCCAGGAUUGACAGAUUGAGAGCUCUUUCUCGAUCCAUUGUGUGGUGGUGCAUGGCCGCUCCUGGCUGGUGGAGUGAUUUGUCUGGUUGAUUCCGUUAACGAACGAGAUCUCGACCCUUAAAUAGGUAUGCUGGUCGCCCAGUGAUUGGCCCUGCUUGCAGUGCGCCUUUCACUAGACACGGUAACUACUUCUUAAGGGGACUGCGUGCGCUGCUAGUACGCGGAAGAGCGAGCCAAUAGCAGGUCUGUGAUGCUCCUAAAUGUCCUAGGCUGCACGCGCACUACACUGACGCAUUAAACGAGUCUGUUUGCCUUACGGCAACCUAUCUUGAAGAGGAUGGGAAAUCUUUUGAACUUGCGUCGUGAUGAGGAUCGAUGACUGCAAUUAUUCUCCUUGAAUGAGGAAUGCCUAGUAGGCGCAAGUCAUCAGCUUGCACUGAUUACGUCCCUGCCAUUUGUACACACCGCCCGUCGUUGCUACCGAUUGGCUGUGGGAUAGAGCUGGACAGAGAUGUGCGUUUUGGGGCUCUCUCAAUUCGUGCGUCGAAAUUCAGCAAUAUUUCUCAGCUAGAGGAAGCAAAAGUCGUAACAAGGUUGCU
This 2004-nucleotide ribosomal RNA is filed under the name Lacrimia lanifica. Its description in RNAcentral is "SSU rRNA". It matches the Rfam family "Eukaryotic small subunit ribosomal RNA". The record is from RNAcentral. Lineage: Eukaryota; Euglenozoa; Diplonemea; Diplonemida; Diplonemidae.